AUAAGGAGUCGGACCUGCCCAGUGAAAUAUUUUAAACGGCCGCGGUACUCUGACCGUGCAAAGGUAGCAUAAUCAUUUGCCCUAUAAUUGAGGGCUAGUAUGAAUGGUUUGACAAGAAUAAAGCUGUCUCUUUUUAAUUAUAUAGAAUUUUAUUUUUAGGUGAAGAAGCCUAAAUUAUAUUAAAAGACAAGAAGACCCUAUCGAGCUUUAAAUAAAUUGAUAGCUUUACAGAAAUAUUUAUUAAAACAAUAUCUAUUAAAAAUUUUGGUUGGGGCGACAAAGGAACACACAAAGCUUCUUUUAAAUCUGUACAAACUACACAAGUUUUGAUCCAAUAAAUAUUGAUUAAAGGAAUUAGUUACCGUAGGGAUAACAGCAUUAUCUUUUUUGAGAGCUCAUAUCGAAAAAAAGGUUUGUGACCUCGAUGUUGGACCAGAAUAUCCCAAAGAUGCAGAAGUCUUUAAAGGUUGGUCUGUUCGACCAUUAAAAUUCU
This 493-nucleotide ribosomal RNA is filed under the name Dalium solidum. RNAcentral's name for it is "partial 16S ribosomal RNA". It matches the Rfam family "Bacterial large subunit ribosomal RNA", at positions 1845 to 2597 of the family's 2925-position model. The record is from RNAcentral. Lineage: Eukaryota; Metazoa; Mollusca; Gastropoda; Littorinimorpha; Cassidae.